This 472-nucleotide ribosomal RNA is filed under the name uncultured Bacillota bacterium. Its description in RNAcentral is "bacterial SSU rRNA". It matches the Rfam family "Bacterial small subunit ribosomal RNA", at positions 8 to 481 of the family's 1533-position model. Lineage: Bacteria; Bacillati; Bacillota. The record is from RNAcentral.
AGAGUUUGAUCCUGGCUCAGGAUGAACGCUGGCGGCGUGCCUAACACAUGCAAGUCGAGCGAGAAGGUAGAGAGUGAUUCUUCGGAUGAGCGAUCUACCGGGCAGCGGCGGACGGGUGAGUAACGCGUGGGUAACCUGCCUUAUACUGGGGGAUAACAUUCUGAAAAGGAUGCUAAUACCGCAUAAGCGCACAGCAUCGCAUGAUGCCGUGUGAAAAACUCCGGUGGUAUAAGAUGGACCCGCGUCUGAUUAGCUAGUUGGUGAGAUAAUAGCUCACCAAGGCAACGAUCAGUAGCCGACCUGAGAGGGUGAUCGGCCACAUUGGGACUGAGACACGGCCCAAACUCCUACGGGAGGCAGCAGUGGGGAAUAUUGCACAAUGGGGGAAACCCUGAUGCAGCGACGCCGCGUGAAGGAUGAAGGUUUUCGGAUCGUAAACUUCUAUCCGCAGGGAAGAAAAUGACUGUACCUG